Long non-coding RNA from Stomoxys calcitrans (stable fly), 388 nucleotides. RefSeq lists it as uncharacterized. The record is from RefSeq and is a predicted model, not a curated record. NCBI's taxonomy places the organism in Eukaryota, Metazoa, Arthropoda, Insecta, Diptera, Muscidae. The transcript is spliced from 2 exons.
GACCUUCUAACAAAUAGCUGCGCUUUAUUCUUUAAAAUCAAUUCCCAGUUUAUUUAAAAGGCAACUUCCCUUGCUUUAAGAUUACAGGUCACAACGGAUACUUCUCUCAUAUAAAUGAGUGCAGUCGGAUUAAAUUGUAAGUUCAGUGAUAAGGGGCCUCCUUUUCUAUGCAAAGUCCGAAGCCCCUAGCGACACCACUUGGUAGAGAAGUUUUAACACGGCAGGAUACCUCACACAUGUAGAUAGGAUGGAAACGAUCCUCUGGAUAAGUGACUUAAUUGGAAGAAAUGAUAAAGAAUUGAUAAAGAAAUGUCGAAUGUAUGAUUGACGAAUAUUAGAUCGAGUAAUUUACCAAAUGAAUUAUAUACAUUAUUGAUCUGCGUCACUA